Molecule: long non-coding RNA, 1585 nt
Filed under: Ornithorhynchus anatinus (platypus)
Lineage: Eukaryota; Metazoa; Chordata; Mammalia; Monotremata; Ornithorhynchidae
Description: lncRNA (ENSOANG00000044532.1)
Source: RNAcentral
AGUAGUUGGAGGGUUGGGGUUUUUUUGUUUUUUUUUUCCAUUCAGUGGUAUCUAUGGAGCGCUUACUACGUGCAGAGCACUGUACUCGGCGCCCGGAAGGGACAAUCGGGCAACAGAUCGAGACGGUCCCUGCUCAAAGGGACUCCGAGCAACCGACGGGGACAAGGUGUCCAGCAAGGGGGGAGACAGGAAAGGGGGAUGGGGGGGGGUGGGGAGAAGAGAGAGCGCGCAGAUCCCAGGCGGGAGCUAAAAUCGAGCCUCUCCCCGCUGGCAGCAGCAGGAGGAGAAGGACGGGUCGGGACCGGUUAGCCGGCGGGGGUCGGCCGACGCUGGGAAAGUGGACAGCGGCGCCGGGCAGCGCAGAGGGGGUUCCCGCGACCUCGGGCGGCGAGGAGAUGGGGGGGACGGGGGCCGCCGCCGGGCUUCGGAGGGGGGAGCGCCCCCCGGCGGCGGGGCCGGUGCCGCACUCACCCGCUGGGGCCGGGGGGCCUCCCCGCGCUGUCGGAGGCGUCGGUGGGCCCUCCCUGGGAGCCGGGGACGUCACGCCGCCUGCCCCCCGACCCGCCCCCCACCUGCGCUCAAUGCCAACUUGGGCAGGAGCAGAGAGGACCCGCCGGCUUCCCUCCUCGCCUGCCCCCGCGAUAGGCUGAGUCCUUGCUUCUCUUUGGAGCUAAAACUCGGAGGAUUACCGUCACCUGAAUGCGCACGUUUCACCUGUCGGGAGAAUGGGGUGAGGAGUUAGGGGAAGCCAGCUGGCCCCCUCUAUCCCAAGAGUUCUGGAUCCGGUCGCGACCAACUUUUAGUGAGGACGAGAGGGCGCAGCGACGGCAAAGGGAAACGUUGGCAAGAGGUGCAGGGGUAGCCCCCCUGCAGCUCUCCAAACCAUGCACAGAGACCUCUCCUCCAUCAAAGAAGAGUCUGAGGGAACCUUGAUCGAGAGGCCCUUUCCCUGAGUGAGCUUCUCACCCCGAGAGAGAGAAUCUACUGUGUGGCCUCGGGUAAGUCACUUCACUUCUCUGGGCCUCAGUUACCCCCAUCUGUAAAAUGGGGGUUCAGACUGGGAGCCUCGAGAGGGACAGGGACUGUGCCCAAUCCGAUUGGCUUGUAUCCACCCCAGCGUUUGGUUCAGUGCUUGGCACAUAGUAGGCGCUUAAUACCAUAGUUGUUAUUAUUAAGUCAGGAUCAGAGUUAGCCACGCCAUCGAGGGAAGCAAUCCUGAUCUGGAAAAACCCGAGUUUCCCGGGAACGCACAGUCCCUUUUCUCUCCUCUCGCUCUCCUCCAUCCCCUCUCCCUCUCACCUUCCUUACUCACCCAACUCCAGCCCCUUUCUCUCCCUCUGCAUCCCCCAACCCCUCUCCAGCUCCUCCUCCAUUCCCUGGCCCUCUCACCUUCCUUACUCACCCCACUCCAGCCCCUCUUUCUCUUCCUCUGCAUCCCCCAUCCCCUCUCCAGCUCCUCCUCUAUCCCCUCUCCCUCCUUCUGGCGCCCUCGUCGGGGAAUCAGAGAGAGCUUCCUCGGGCCGGGCUUGUGCCUGAGCUGGGGAAAAAGUAUCCCAGACACUCUCCAGGGGCAGCAGGGGGGAGA